This 253-nucleotide ribosomal RNA is filed under the name uncultured bacterium. Its description in RNAcentral is "partial 16S ribosomal RNA". It matches the Rfam family "Bacterial small subunit ribosomal RNA", at positions 524 to 776 of the family's 1533-position model. The record is from RNAcentral.
UACAGAGGGGGCAAGCGUUAAUCGGAAUUACUGGGCGUAAAGUGUGCGCAGGCGGCAGAGCAAGUCGAGUGUGAAAGCCCCGAGCUUAACUUGGGAAUUGCGCUCGAAACUACUUUGCUGGAGUGUGGCAGAGGAAGGUGGAAUUCCAGGUGUAGCGGUGAAAUGCGUAGAGAUCUGGAGGAACACCCGUGGUGCAGACGGCUUGCUGGACCGUGACUGACGCUGAGGCACGAAAGCGUGGGUAGCAAACAGG